Molecule: ribosomal RNA, 253 nt
Filed under: uncultured bacterium
Lineage: Bacteria
Description: partial 16S ribosomal RNA
Rfam family: Bacterial small subunit ribosomal RNA
Source: RNAcentral
UACAGAGGAUGCAAGCGUUAUCCGGAAUGAUUGGGCGUAAAGCGUCUGUAGGUGGCUUUUUAAGUCCGCCGUCAAAUCCCAGGGCUCAACUCUGGACAGGCGGUGGAAACUACCAAGCUGGAGUACGGUAGGGGCAGAGGGAAUUUCCGGUGGAGCGGUGAAAUGCGUAGAGAUCGGAAGGAACACCGAUGGCGAAGGCAGCUCGCUGGGACGGUACUGACGCUGAGACGCGAAAGCGUGGGGAGCAAACAGG